Molecule: ribosomal RNA, 403 nt
Filed under: uncultured bacterium
Lineage: Bacteria
Description: partial 16S ribosomal RNA
Rfam family: Bacterial small subunit ribosomal RNA
Source: RNAcentral
GAUGAACGCUGGCGGCGUGCCUAAUACAUGCAAGUCGAACGCAGUGGGGACGGGUGAGUAACACGUGGGUAACCUCCCAUCAGAGGGGAUAACACUUGGCAACAGGUGCUAAACCGAUACUGAUGGAUGGACCCGCGGUGCAUUAGCUAGUUGGUGAGGUAACGGCUCACCAAGGCCACGCUGGAUAGCCGAUCUGAGAGGGGUAUCGUCGAAACUGGGAAUGAGACACGGACCAGACUCCUACGGGAGGCAGCAGUAGGGAAUCUGCGGCAAUGGACGAAAGUCUGACCGAGCGAAACCGCGUGAGUGAAGAAGGUGUUCGGAUCGUAAAACUCUGUUGUUAGAGAAGCGGUAUCUAACCAGAAAGCCACGGCUAACUACGUGCCAGCAGCCGCAGUAAUUC